CUGUCAGUUCUGUAGGGCACAG
RNAcentral lists this microRNA (22 nucleotides) under Chrysemys picta bellii (western painted turtle). RNAcentral's name for it is "Cpi-Mir-192-P4_3p* (star (passenger))". Lineage: Eukaryota; Metazoa; Chordata; Testudines; Emydidae. The record is from RNAcentral. RNAcentral also lists the same sequence under 1 other name.